Non-coding RNA from Odocoileus virginianus texanus, 1087 nucleotides. NCBI's taxonomy places the organism in Eukaryota, Metazoa, Chordata, Mammalia, Artiodactyla, Cervidae. The record is from RefSeq and is a predicted model, not a curated record.
AAUGAAAUUCAUUCAGUAAAUAUUUAUUGAGUACCUACAGUGUGCUAGGUACCCUUCUAGAUUUUGGGGAGUCAACAGUGAACAAAACAAAGUCACCUACCUUCAUGGUGCUUCUUUGUUUUUUACUUCCUUCCCUCCCACUUCCUCUUCUUUUUCAUUUUCCCUUAUUCCCCUUCUUCCUUCUUUAGCUUAGAUAGUAAAUAGACAGAGAGAGGUGUAUGGUGCAUAUAAACAGGAGUUGUUAAGAUCAUGAUUAUGAAAAGUAGCUGGUCACUUCACAAACCGAAUAGAAUUAGCUAGGUAUUUGUAACAACUGCUAUCUUGAUUAUGUUUAUUUGUAAGUUCCCUUACUAGAUAAGAAAAAAUUGCAAAUACUUUGUAAGCCCUUUAGACAUUUUAAUGUAAGAAAACAAAAACAAAACAAAAAAAACCCUUAAGAGUAGUUUAUUUUGGAGUACUCCUGGCGCCACAGCGCUGGCCGGGUCGGGUGGGAACUGGAGACCAGUGAUUUUCCAAAUGAUACCUGUGAUUCCCUGCGCCCUCGUGUAUGGAGCGUUUGCCAAGGGUGACCCUUCUUUUAUUUAAAGAUGUAAAAAAUGCUGCUGGCUUGAGAAAAAAGGCUAUGGAAGGUGCCAUUGAUGGCUCAUUAAUAAACCCUGCAGUGAUUGUUGAUCCAUUUCAGAUAAUUGUGGCCGCAAACAAAGCAGUUCACCUCUACAAACUGGGGAAAAUGAAGACAAGAAAUCUAUCCACUGAAGUUAUUUUCAAUCUUUCCCCAAAUAACAAUAUUUCAGAGGCCUUGAAAAAAUUUGGUAUCUCAGCAAAUGAUACUUCGGUUUUGAUUGCUUAUAUUGAAGAGGGUGAAAAACAAAUAAAUCAAGAAUACCUAAUAUCUCAGGUAGAAGGUCAUCAGGUUCCUCUGAAAAGUCUCCCCGAAAUAACAAAUAUUACGGAAGUCAAAAAGGUAUAUAAACUAUCUUCACAAGAAGAAAGUAUUGGAACAUUAUUGGAUGGUAUAAUUUGUAGAAUGUCAACAAAAGAUGUUUUGUGAAAUGACAGAAAUAUUAAAAAAUUUUCAGCUUUUAUA